Girardinichthys multiradiatus is the source of this 2260-nucleotide long non-coding RNA. RefSeq lists it as uncharacterized. The transcript has 3 exons. The record is from RefSeq and is a predicted model, not a curated record. NCBI's taxonomy places the organism in Eukaryota, Metazoa, Chordata, Actinopteri, Cyprinodontiformes, Goodeidae.
UUUUCUUUAUCCCGCUGCUAGGUUUUGGUUUUUAGAUAUUAAGGAGUCUGGCAGGACUGGUGAUGCCUUCGGUAGCGACUUGCGCCAGGGCUUUUCUUUAUCCCGCUGCUAGGUUUUGGUUUUUAGAUAUUAAGGAGUCUGGCAGGACUGGUGAUGCCUUCGGUAGCGACUUGCGCCGGGGCUUUUCUUUAUCCCGCUGCUAGGUUUUGGUUUUUAGAUAUUAAGGAGUCUGGCAGGACUGGUGAUGCCUUCGGUAGCGACUUGCGCCGGGGCUUUUCUUUAUCCCGCUGCUAGGUUUUGGUUUUUAAAAUUUAAGGAUUAUCUGGAGAUAUCUGGAGAGACUGUGGCAACAUCUUCUACACAUUUUUAAAUAGGCCAUGGAAUCAAUAAGACAACAGGAGGCAACCAAAAUAAUCCAAGAGGAUCAAUCACAACAGUGCGCCAAGAGGAUGCAGAGAAUAUGUUAAGAUGGACAAAGAAAGCACAAAAGGGAAGAAAUAAAUCCUCCUUGAAAACACAUGGACUGCAAACGCAUUAAAAUCUGUAAGGAAUGAGGUAAAACUGCUGGGGACAAAUACAAAUCUCAAUAAAGUGAGACAAGGCUACUGGGGACACAUUGAAAGCUUUAUGGAGUGAGACAACAUUACUCACACUGCUGGGGACAAAUACAAAUCUCUAUGGAGUGAGACAAUGACACUGGGGAUGCAUUAAAACUUCUAAGGAGUGAGACAAUGCUACUGGGGACGCAUUAAAACUUCUAAGGAGUGAGACAAUGCUACUGGGGACGCAUUCAAACUUCUAAGGAGUGAGACAUUGCUACUGGGGACGCAUUAAAACUUCUAAGGAGUGAGACAUUGCUACUGGGGACGCAUUAAAACUUCUAAGGAGUGAGUUAACACAACUCGGUACGCAUUAAAAUCUCCAUGGAGUGAGCCAACAUUACUCAGACUGCUGGGGACAAAUAAAAAUCUUAAUGGAGUGAGACAACACUACUUGGAACACAUUAAAACUAAGGAGUGAGGUAACUGCUGGAUGCAAAUAAACCUUUAUAGCAGGAGACAAUGCUACUGAUGCUACGGAUAUUAAUUAAAUAUUUUAAGGGGUGAGAAGACGCUACUGGUUACACAUUCAAAUCUUCAGAGGUAAGACAAAAUAAAAUGUCUAUGGAGUGAGGUAACACUGCCAGGGAAAAACUAAAAAGAGGUGAGACAACCCUGCUAGGGACAAAUAAAACUGUCACGGCAACAGAUGGUUAUCAAGUGGUCUCUUGGCUUUUGCUGAAUAAGGAAAUGAGACAAUGCUUCAGAACACAGAUUGACUUCUGACCACUUUGAGACAGAGCAUUUCAGGUGUCUGAAUGUGGGUUGUGUGCGUUGUGUUGACUGUUAGAAACCGGUUGUACCUGUGCCAUGCCAGAAAUAUGGUUAGAAAUAUUACUUUAGUAAUAAUUUUGUAAUAUUUAGUAAGCCUAUUUCGAGGAAAAGUACUUUCUGGAGAAAUACUCUCCUCCUGAUUUCACCUCUGUUAAUCUCUUAUGUGUCAUUGAGUGUUAUUGAAUGUCAUAUUGGACUGAGCCUCCAUGGGCUUUGGCUACCAGAAGAUGCUGAGGAGAUCUACGAUGACAAACAGAGGACCAUCAUCUGAGCUGCUGACUUCUACAAAGCGUGGGGAAUAGGGAUCAAGCACCCUGAAACUGAAAAAGGCAGAAAUCCUGUGAGGAUCCAGGAUAUUGAGGCCGAUGAAGAGCUUCCUAGGGACACCUGAAGACAGGACAGAUAAUCCAGAGGGAGAGGAUGUGGAGAUCUAAAGCCUCUUCAGUCAGAAGGAGGAAGAUGGGAAAAUUAAGUUGACAAAAAAAGUAAGAAAACAUAUAAUUAGACAACAUUUUUAAAUAUACAUGUAGCUGAGCUUAAAGCUAAAAGCUAGCAUGAUUCCUUUUUGUGUGUUUUUUUUCCUAUAUAUUUUUUUUGUUAUAAACUGAGUUUCUUUGUUCUUUGCUGUGAUGGAACAAGCAUCUGAAACAAUGGAUCAUCAGUGUGUCCCAAUCUUUAGAACUUUGAGUUUUGUAUUUUCACAUUUUCUGUUGUAUUAGUUCAGCUUUUUCUCAGGCUUGUAUUCUGACUAUUGUUCUCAUUAGUCAUGUUCUGUUGAUUCAAUGUAUCAUUCCUGUUCAGAUAAUCCCCCCAGUGUUUCAUUGCAGGACCUAUUUUAUUUAUGCUUCCCCACACAGCUGCUCCCAAAGCAGUUAACUAUACUCACC